CAAAAUUCGUUUCCUCCAGACGCUCCACCUUUCUCUACAAACCCUAACCUUCAUUUCAUCCAUCGAUCCUCCACUGCUCCUCCAUCGAACCGGUCGUUGCCAUCACCGUCUUCUCCCCUUCUCCACUCCAACAGUCGCUUCAUGGCUUCUUUCCCGGUGGCUUCAAGAUCCGACACUAUCUCAGCAGAUUCGACACCAGAUCGAUUUCUAUGGCUUCUUUCCCGGUGGCUUCAAGAUUCGACACUCUCUCUCUCUCUCUUAGUAGAUCUGACACCAGAUCUACUGGUUUGACUGUAGGAUCUUCCGUUUGGUUGUGGGUUCGUCAACGAUGGUGCUUGUGGGUGGAAGAUCUGGCCAGAUCUAUGGUUUAUUUGUAGUAGAUUUCUCUCUAGAAUAGCACAACAAGCACUCUGUUCUUUGGUUUCGAACAGUGCGAGGUUAUGGCGCUGCAGAUGCUGAGCUGGAGCGACUGCUUAAGGAGACAGGGAAACAGUUAUCGCUUCCUCAUGAUUAUGUACAGUUUACUUCUUUUGUUGAAUCAAUACUUUUCACUGUUAAUGAAAUAUUAUGGUUACACUUGAAGAUUUGUGGAAUUGUAUGAGUUGGAAGGACAUUUAUUGCUGUUUGAUUGAUUAUUUUCUUGAUGUUGCGAGAACGGAAGUGGUACAUCAUACAUGGGGUCGACUGGUCGAGCAACUAUUUCUAGCGGCACUUCAACAGUUAUCAUCUUGCAGGUGUCUAUAAAGCUUAUGAUUUAAGAGAUGAGGGUUCAGACUACUUAGGAAAAGCUGUCUCCAAGUGAUGAAUAGAUAAAACUCAGAUAUACGGGCAGCCGUUGAGAAAUUCAUAGAUUCCAAUCGAAGGAAGAGAUCAUGGAGAGGCAGAAUAAUCAGUAAGGCGAGUAUGAGACGGGGUUUGAUAAUUCCAGUCUGGAUUAUGAUUGUAAAACCGUAUCCAUACAUGGUCCCGUAUUCGUCAGGUAGUGAAGAAGAUGAAACUGCCAUGGGGAAACAAAAGACUAUGCUUAUGAAGAACAUUGACUAGACCUUGGACCAGAUUAGCAAGCACAUGAUAUUGUGUGCAACUUCUCUUUGAGAGGCACAUGAUGUUGUGUGCAACUUCUUUUUGAGAGGCAUCCUAUUUGUAAGUUAUUGAUCAGAUGCAAACUGUGGCAUGAAUCUUUGUUUAGUUGGACAGUUUAUUAUUGUACAAAUACCUUGUUUUUUGUAAGUUAUUGAUUAGAUGUAAACUGUGGCAUGAAUCUUUGUUUAGUUGGAUA
Molecule: long non-coding RNA, 1279 nt
Organism: Helianthus annuus (common sunflower)
Lineage: Eukaryota; Viridiplantae; Streptophyta; Magnoliopsida; Asterales; Asteraceae
Exons: 9
Source: RefSeq, a predicted model, not a curated record